CUACCUCCGAGUGAGCUCCACCCUGACACGAAAAGAGGCCUUUUAGCAGGAGAAGUUACUGUCGUUUUCUGUAGCCCAGAGGCUAUGAGUAUCGAUAUUUGGCGAGAGAUGGUUAUGCACCUUGGUGAAAGAUUGUGUCUGUUCACGUGUGACGAGGCUCACUGCAUUUCUGAAUGGGGUCUUGAUUUCCGACCUGAGUACAGGGAAAUCAGCAAAGUGUAUUCAAUCCUACCGAAGUCGACGAGAUGGCUGUUUCUGACAGCAACAUGCACGGAUCAGUUACAUCAAUCAAUUUUGGACAUUUUGAACAUUCAGCCGGAUGAGGUCCAAACCAUCGCAGCUGUUCCAGACAG
RNAcentral lists this long non-coding RNA (353 nucleotides) under Priapulus caudatus. RNAcentral's name for it is "uncharacterized LOC106819643, transcript variant X2". The record is from RNAcentral. Lineage: Eukaryota; Metazoa; Priapulida; Priapulimorpha; Priapulimorphida; Priapulidae.